Molecule: non-coding RNA, 59 nt
Organism: Xenopus laevis (African clawed frog)
Lineage: Eukaryota; Metazoa; Chordata; Amphibia; Anura; Pipidae
Source: Rfam
AUCUUUGGUUAUCUAGCUGUAUGAGUUUAUUGGUUUCAUAAAGCUAGAUAACCGAAAGU